This 293-nucleotide long non-coding RNA is filed under the name Bos taurus (domestic cattle). RNAcentral's name for it is "long non-coding RNA NONBTAT012669". Lineage: Eukaryota; Metazoa; Chordata; Mammalia; Artiodactyla; Bovidae. The record is from RNAcentral.
UGGCAAUUUCCAUUAAUUCACAAAUGGUGGAUUAAAAUGGAAUAUUUCUAAGAUAAAAGAAUGGAAUCUCUGAGCCCUUUAUUCUGUGUCACAACUUAAUGUUCUGGGGUGGGUACAUGGAGGCUCUUGCCUGAGCAGAAUGCCUGAACACUCAGGUCUUAUUUUACUAUCGGUUGAAAAGGUCAGCAUUUGUAUAUCAUGUUUAUUUUGUGAUCUCUUUUUAAAAUAGAAUUUAAAAGUUGUGUUAUGUGUACAAACAUAUGAUGUAUGUUUUGAAAAACUGCAAGCAUAUC